Molecule: ribosomal RNA, 253 nt
Filed under: uncultured bacterium
Lineage: Bacteria
Description: partial 16S ribosomal RNA
Rfam family: Bacterial small subunit ribosomal RNA
Source: RNAcentral
GACGGGGGAUGCAAGUGUUAUCCGGAAUUACAGGGCGUAAAGCGUCUGUAGGUGGUUUAAUAAGUCAACUGUUAAAUCUUGAGGCUCAACCUCAAAAUCGCAGUCGAAACUGUUUGACUAGAGUAUAGUAGGGGUAAAGGGAAUUUCCAGUGGAGCGGUGAAAUGCGUAGAGAUUGGAAAGAACACCAAUGGCGAAGGCACUUUACUGGGCUAUUACUAACACUGAGAGACGAAAGCUAGGGUAGCAAAUGGG